RNAcentral lists this small RNA (114 nucleotides) under Marmota monax (woodchuck). Lineage: Eukaryota; Metazoa; Chordata; Mammalia; Rodentia; Sciuridae. The record is from RNAcentral.
GCAGUGGUGUAUGUAUGCCUGCAAUCCCAGCUACUUGGGAGGCUGAGGCAGGAGGAUCAUUUGAGCCCAGGAAUCGGAGGCCAGCCUGAGCAACAUAAUGAGACCUUAUUUCAG